Molecule: long non-coding RNA, 1284 nt
Filed under: Ananas comosus (pineapple)
Lineage: Eukaryota; Viridiplantae; Streptophyta; Magnoliopsida; Poales; Bromeliaceae
Description: long non-coding RNA (ACOM_LNC034853)
Source: RNAcentral
UUUAUAUAGUUGCUUCCGAAGAAACACCAAACAUCUAUUAACUUAUAUGAAUUCUCAAUGUUUAUUGCUACGUGGCAAGUUCUUCUUCACCCUCACUAGCAUAUGACUCUUCUUCUUCCUCUCACUAUACUUUUAAUGUACAUUUUAACGGUUCCACUAACAAAACUUUUAAUUAAUAUAUUUAAAUGAUUCCACUAACAAAACUUUCAAUUAAUGUAUUUAAAUGGUCCCAUACCAUCUAUAAUUCUAUCGUUUCUAUCUACAAUUAUUCUUCAUGACCUUUUCCAUUCCCUCCACUAUACUUUCAAUUAAUGCAAAUGGUCCCACUACCAAACUUUCAAUUAGUAUGCUUAAAUGGUCUCACUACUACUUACAAUUCUAACCUCUCUAUCUCCAAUUAUUUAUUAUAGCCUUUUUCCUUUUCUCCACCAGACUUUUAAUUUUUUAUUUCUAAUUUAUUCAUCAAUUAUCUAUCUCUCAUUUUUUGCUAUACAUCAUCGCCUCCUUUCCCCGCUCUCUCUCUCUCUCUCACUAAUGCGCGCCCACUUAUCCUUUCCGCCAUGAUGUUUGGUGAAUAUAUUAAGUGAGAUACACAAAAGAAUGUUUAAUAUUUUCGUAUUAUUAAUUGCUAUUGCAAUUUCUACCCGCUGCAAAGCGCGGGCCCUUUCGCUAGUAGGAAUGAUGCGGCUUUAACUGAUCUAAAUAGAAAUAAUUUCGAUGAUGCUAAAAGGACAUAUUGUACGUUCGGUCCUCAAAUUAUGAGUCAGGCAAUGUUUAUUGGCUUAAAGUGGUCAGCAUUCUAUCCUGUGGCGGGAGACUGGAUUGAAUCGAAUGUUCAAAAUAACAAGAAGUCAAAUUGGGCUGAGCGAAUUGGCGGGAGGCUGACCCCUUUGAACCCGUGAGUGGUCUCUAUACACUUAAAGUGAAUUAGUAGUAUUUUUCUAAGUGCUCAACCUUUGGAAUUAAUAUUUAAUGCCAACGAUUCAAUAAUACUUUGUUUCUUAAACUUUAACUUGUUACAAUUUUUUGUUUGGACUUUCAAAAUUAUUACAAUCAAGUCAUAUAACCUAAAUUAGUUGAUUAAAUAUUGACAAAUUAUUAAUAUAGAAGUGAUGUGAAAAUAUAAUAAUUGAUAAUACGGCAAUAAUUAAGAUGCUGCAUCACAUUUACAUUAAUAUUUCGUCUCUAUUUAAUUAAUUAAAUUGAAUUGUGGAACUUAAUUGUAAUAAUUCUUAAAGUUUGAACCGGAAAUUAUCACAAAUUAAAAUUUGAGCACCAAAGUGU